RNAcentral lists this long non-coding RNA (1139 nucleotides) under Setaria italica (foxtail millet). RNAcentral describes it as "long non-coding RNA (SITA_LNC005271)". Lineage: Eukaryota; Viridiplantae; Streptophyta; Magnoliopsida; Poales; Poaceae. The record is from RNAcentral.
AACGCGAUGUCAGCGUCGCGGUUUUUGGUUGCGCGUACGUGCUUCCCUUCCAGUAUGAUAAUGUAGUGCUGGUAUAUAUAAGCACGUGGUGCUCGUGCGCCCUUGGUACAUACUCUACAUAUACAGCGUGCGUCGAGUGUCCUGGUUGCACACUUGCACCAACCAACCCAAGACAGCUUAUCGGCUGCAGCGCAGAGCCUCUUCCCUCAAGUGUGCUAGAGCGCUUCUUGCCCUUCUUCUCCUCCGUUUUCUGAAGCUACGUUCACGUCAGUUCUAAUACGGCCAUGGCUCUGGACGUCGGUUCCCUGCUAUCGGCGGUGCCCGUCCCCGCCCUCGACGCCGGUGACUGCAGCACGCCGAGGCCGUGGUCCGCGGGUAACGGCGGCGGCGAGGCGGUGUCCGGGGCUGUGCCGGUGCUGUUCGGCGACGACGAGGCGUUGAAGCGGGACCUGGUGGCGUGGGCCAAGGCCGUGGCGUCCAUGGCCAGGGAAUCAGCGCAGCAGUUCCGGUGCUAAUUGAGGAUUCAUUCAGGCUUUACUGUUUCGUGUAGCGAGGAAGUACACUGCUCCUUUUUUCUGAGUCCUUUCUUGAUGGAGCCGUGGUGGUUCUCAACCAGGCAACCAAACCAUGACCAUUGAUCAUUCGGCUUGUAGCCUUUGUACAUGUUCUCCGGAAGGAUGUUUCAGAGUUUUUUCACCCAUACACGGUACACCCAUGUCCUCUGGAACUGUCUUGUCCUACAAAGCCACAAUGUUUUGGUUUUCGCUAUCCCCCAAUUUGGCGGCUGGGUUUGGCUGUCUGCGGUCUGCACGAAGACUGGGAUUGUGCUAUUGAUCACUUCUCACUACUGACUAUCGGGAUUGCCCAUCGAAUCCAAUAAAUCGCGUUCCACUUACACAAGGUUCUAUUUCAACAAUCUAACUUACAGCCAUGUUGCUUAUGAAAUCCCCCAUUAGAAAUGGCCUUAUGAACAAAGGAGAUCAAAGUUUUUCAGCCAUAAAAAAGUAAUGGAGGGGUUCCACACUCUCGAUGUGCUGCAAGUCAAGCAGGCACUAUUUCCACAUAUUCUUGCCUGUCCAUGGGAAUUCUUCGGGUAUUAUCUGUCAUUUCCUCCACGCGUAGCACGGAAUGGAUUUGGU